GACGAACGCUGGCGGCGUGCUUAACACAUGCAAGUCGAACGCUGAAGCUCAGCUUUUGUUGGGUGGAUGAGUGGCGAACGGGUGAGUAACACGUGAGUAACCUGCCCCCUUCUUUGGGAUAACGCCCGGAAACGGGUGCUAAUACUGGAUAUUCACUGGUCUUCGCAUGGGGGUUGGUGGAAAGGGUUUUUCUGGUGGGGGAUGGGCUCGCGGCCUAUCAGCUUGUUGGUGGGGUGAUGGCCUACCAAGGCUUUGACGGGUAGCCGGCCUGAGAGGGUGACCGGUCACAUUGAGACUGAGAUACGGCCCAGGCUCGUACGGGAGGCGGCAGUGGGGAAUAUUGCACAAUGGGCGAAAGCCUGAUGCAGCGACGCCGCGUGAGGGAUGGGGGCCUUAGGGUUGUGAACCUCUUUCGCACAUGGUCAAGCCGAAACAAUGGUUGUGGUGAGGGUAGUGGGUAAAGAAGCGCCGGCUAACUACGUG
This 483-nucleotide ribosomal RNA is filed under the name uncultured bacterium. Its description in RNAcentral is "partial 16S ribosomal RNA". It matches the Rfam family "Bacterial small subunit ribosomal RNA", at positions 28 to 507 of the family's 1533-position model. The record is from RNAcentral.